GCCCUCUUCCCCCUCCUCCUCUAAAUAUAAACUAAAAUAUUCUAGCAGCCCAGUAAAGAAGAUUAAAAAACUUUUAAGAGCUAUAAACUUGUACCGCAAGGGAAAGAUGAAAUAAAAGUGAAAUAAAUUUCAAGCAAGAAAAAGUAGAGACUUGCCCUCGUACCUUUUGCAUCAUGGUUUAGCUAGUCUAACUAGGCAAAAAGACUUUAAGUCUAACCUCCCGAAACUAAGUGAGCUAAUUUAGGGCCGCUUAAUGAGCCCACCCAUCUAUGUUGCAAAAUAGUGGGAAGACCCUAAAAUAGAAGUGACAGACCUAACGAACUUAGUUAUAGCUGGUUCCUCAAGAAAAGAAUUAGUCCAACCUAAAAUAAUAUUAACCCACUUAAUUACCCCUAUUAUUUUAGAGCAAUUCAAAUGAGGUUCAGCCCAUUUGAUACAGGAUCCAACCCUCACUAACGGGUAAUAACUUAUUUACAUCUAGAAGUAGGCCUAAGAGCAGCCAUCUUUUAAAAAGCGUCAAAGCUUAACUAUGUUAACCCCAAUUCGUAAACCCACACCGACCCCUUUAACAGUACUGAGGACCUCUAUAAUCCUAUAGAGCCUUUUAUGCUAAAACUAGUAACAAGAGAUCUCCUCUCCUAAUGCAAACAUAACCCAGCAAGAACCAAUCACUGGCAAUUAACAGAAUAAUAUAAAUGUAGCAACCUCACUAGAAAACUCUACUUUAACUAACUGUUAACCUAACACCAGAGCAUUUCAAGAAAGAUUAAAAGGGGGAGAAGGAAUUCGGCAAAGAAUCAGCCUCGCCUGUUUACCAAAAACAUCGCCUCUCGAUCCCAUGAGAGGUCCAGCCUGCCCAGUGACUCUGUUCAACGGCCGCGGUAUCCUAACCGUGCGAAGGUAGCGUAAUCAUUUGUCUUCUAAAUAAAGACCUGUAUGAAAGGCAUCACGAAGGCUAAACUGUCUCCUCCCCCUAAUCAGUGAACCUAAUCUCCCCGUGAAGAAGCGGGGAUUCUUCUAUAAGACGAGAAGACCCUAUGGAGCUUUAAACAUCAUAACACUGCCACAACUAACAACUAUCCAGAUAUUUCUCCCCAUGGCACCCUGAUUAUAAGUUUUUGGUUGGGGUGACCGCGGAGAAAAAUUUAUCCUCCACAAUGAAAGGGGCCCUCCCCUAAACAAUAAGUUACAACUUUAUGUAUCAACAAUUUGACAUCCAUUGACCCAACAAAUUGAUCAACGAACCAAGUUACCCUAGGGAUAACAGCGCAAUCCACUUUGAGAGCCCCUAUCGACAAGUGGGCUUACGACCUCGAUGUUGGAUCGGGAUAACCUAGUGGUGCAGCCGCUACUAAAGGUUCGUUUGUUCAACGAUUAAAACCCCACGUGAUCUGAGUUCAGACCGGAGCAAUCCAGGUCGGUUUCUAUCUAUAAAACAGCUCUUUUCAGUACGAAAGGACCAAAAUAGCAUGGCCAAUACUUAUAUAAGCCAUAGCAACCAAUUUUUGACCUCAGCUCAAAAAAUUAUCGCUCCCCUUCACCCCCCU
This 1547-nucleotide ribosomal RNA is filed under the name Pristimantis mindo (Mindo rainfrog). RNAcentral's name for it is "partial large subunit ribosomal RNA". It matches the Rfam family "Bacterial large subunit ribosomal RNA", at positions 388 to 2925 of the family's 2925-position model. The record is from RNAcentral. Lineage: Eukaryota; Metazoa; Chordata; Amphibia; Anura; Strabomantidae.